Podarcis lilfordi (Lilford's wall lizard) is the source of this 69-nucleotide non-coding RNA. NCBI's taxonomy places the organism in Eukaryota, Metazoa, Chordata, Lepidosauria, Squamata, Lacertidae. The record is from the annotation of a GenBank genome assembly.
GUCAUAGGUCAGUGGCAGAGCACCUGCCUUACAUGCAGAAGGUUCCUGGUUCAAUUCCUAGUGUCUCCC